Molecule: long non-coding RNA, 797 nt
Organism: Cebus imitator (Panamanian white-faced capuchin)
Lineage: Eukaryota; Metazoa; Chordata; Mammalia; Primates; Cebidae
Exons: 3
Source: RefSeq, a predicted model, not a curated record
GAAGUGCUGGGAUUACAGGUGUAAGCCACCGCAGGCUUUUUGCAAGCAGUUCUCCUGCUCAGCCCACUGUCCCUGGACUCUCCCCUGUAUCUAAGCCCCCAAUAAAACCCUAUUACCUUGUUUGCUGGCUCUCGGUCUCUUCUUCCGCAUCUUGAACCUGGUGCCAUCCCCACUGGAGUCAAUAGAGGUUUGGCACAAUACUGUGCUCUCCUGUGCCUCGGCCUCCUCAUCGUGCUAUGGGCCACUGUGAGGACAGAACUGGCCUUCAAAGGGAGCAACGCAGGCAGCACCCCAGUGGGCUAUGGGGCAGCUGGGCUUCACAGAGUUCCUGGUAGCAUUUGGGGCUCUUCCUGUCAGCCCUACAGCCUGGAGCUGAGACAGUACCCUUAGAGUCUGUGGUCAUUUCAGUUUGGGUCCCACUAUGAGAAUCUGUUCAUCACUGGUGGCUAUGCACUGUAAUUAUCUUCUGUGAAGUGAUAGUUCUUGUGACUUGCUAUUUCUCUGCCCUGCGUGGCCAACGGAGCCCCACGUGUUCUCUGAAGACCCCUAGCCCUUUCAUACACCUGGACUUGGGUCCAGGCCAUCGUGGUCCUCCCCUGCACACAGAGGGACCCUGGCCAAGAAGUGAGCCUGAAGUUGGAUGAACAUAGCAGCAGAGGUCAGGCUGGUCACGCUUGCUGCUCCUCCAACUUGCCUUCCCAGAUGCACGAGUCUUCUGCUGGUACCCCAGAGGCUGCAUCCAGGCUCUGAGAACACUGAGGCCUUGAGGGACUGCACCGUCUGGCUGCUCACGGAGC